This 103-nucleotide ribosomal RNA is filed under the name uncultured bacterium. RNAcentral's name for it is "partial 16S ribosomal RNA". It matches the Rfam family "Bacterial small subunit ribosomal RNA", at positions 1380 to 1482 of the family's 1533-position model. The record is from RNAcentral.
CUUGUACACACCGCCCGUCACACCAUGGGAGUGGGUUCUACCAGAAGUAGGUAGGCUAACAGCAAGGGGGCCGCUUACCACGGUAGGAUUCAUGACUGGGGUG